Molecule: long non-coding RNA, 235 nt
Filed under: Elaeis guineensis (African oil palm)
Lineage: Eukaryota; Viridiplantae; Streptophyta; Magnoliopsida; Arecales; Arecaceae
Description: long non-coding RNA (EGUI_LNC030025)
Source: RNAcentral
GGGGCCAAAUUAUGAACAGAAAGUUAUAAUUUAACCGCAGGAUGUUAUAAUAUGGUCAUAAAUAUCAUAAUUUUUUCAAAAGAUGAGGGAUAUUUUCAUCAUUCAAAAUUCUAAACGAAAAAGCGGAACUGCAGACAUUAAAUGCAUGUUGGAAAGCGGUAAUUAUGUGGCCCAAGCAGAUGGUACAGUGCAUCUUUUCUGUACCGCAUGCAAUGUACAAAGAAUUACUUAUUGG